AGAAGAAUGCCUGAUCUAGAAGAUGCCCAGUGGAUUCUUAUUGAAGGAAUGUCCAGUGGGUGUUAAGGGUGAGGCUCAGGGAAUUAAGCACCUUGUUCUGGGUCACGGGUCAUUAAGCUAAGAAAAUACAGCAUGUCCAUCUGGCCAGCUUCCCAGAUAGAGCCUCAUGAAGUUCCAGCACACAGAGAAGUGAAAGGGGAGAAUGGAAUAAUCUGUUCAUUCUUUCGUUCAAUAUUUACUCAAAACCCACUAUGUGCUAGGAUUGAGCGUGGCUCCUUCUCAGAAGCGGAUUCCUGAAAGGCCCUGCCCUUCAGGGGACAUGGAUGGGGCCACCAGCUGCUGGGCAAAGAGAGGACAGCCAGGAAGCAAGUGACGAAGCCUGCAAGAAGGCCAGGGAGGAACAGGAAGGACCAGCUGAAGAUGUAUUAAUAGCAACACAGGAUAAGGCCCGGCUGUUCCUGUUUGGACCACUUUCUCCAGCCGAAUCCAUGGUUCCUCUCACCUCCUCCAGGCCUUUGCUCACCCCAGCCUCUUCCCUGACUGGGUGCCUCCCAUCGGAACCCUCCCUGGGGAACCCGUCCCACAGUGAUGGAGCGCCUUAUACCCGCUUUCUGCUUUCUUUUUUUUACAAAGCACUCCUACUCAUCAAACACAUUAACUACUGUGCUUAUUUGGUUUGCUUCUUUCCCUUCCAGAAUGUAAGCUCUACGAGAGCAGGGUUUUCAGUCCUUUCGGUUUACUGACACACCCCCCAUGCCCAACACAGAGCCUUGUACAUAUUUGUUGAAUGGAUUAAAAACAGAAUAACCAUAAUCAUAGCUGACACUGCCUUAGCCCCUGCUUUUUGCCCUAGAACUGUUCCAAGCACCUCAUAUGUGCUCAUUCAUGAAUUCCUCCCAUCUCAAUGAGGCACAGAGCGGGCAAGUAAUUUGCUCAAGGCCACAGAGCAAGUGUGCAAGAGUGACGAACAGGUUGGCCUGAGUUCCCUGUUGGUGAUGUUUUACUCACUCCGAGGCUGUCUGUGACCCUUGGCAUCAGCUCUUUUCGUGGGUGACAUGGCCGCUUUGGCAGCACCCUCUCACUCCUCUAACACGCUGUAUUAUGAGGGCCUCUUUGCUUGUUUACUGUUGACUCAAUUUCUUUGCAGGCAGGGACUGGUCUCCUUCAUUUUGAUUUCCCCAGUGCCUUGCAUGGUGUCCCGCCCAUUGCAGAGACUCCCCUCUGUUUUCCUAGUUGGCAUUUACACCCACCCGGUGAGGUGGGAAACACAGGUGUCAUCACUCCAUUGCCCCCAUUUAUCAGCAGGGAAACAAGCUCAGAGAAGUGAAGUCUUUCAUUCAUUUGACAAGUAUUUAUUGCACUUCUAUUACACCGAGUACUGAGCUAAGUGCUGAGAGGCUGGAAGAGGCACACAGUGGCCAAACCCUGGGUCUCCUGGUUCAGUGCUCACCUGGCCAAAGCCCACAGUCCACACUACAGAGCCCCAUGGGUUCUGGCUGCUGCCCAAGGCUUUGGUGAGACCACCCCCUGUUAGAACUGG
Homo sapiens (human) is the source of this 1540-nucleotide long non-coding RNA. RefSeq lists it as uncharacterized. The record is from RefSeq and is a predicted model, not a curated record. NCBI's taxonomy places the organism in Eukaryota, Metazoa, Chordata, Mammalia, Primates, Hominidae. The transcript is spliced from 4 exons.